RNAcentral lists this ribosomal RNA (433 nucleotides) under uncultured bacterium. RNAcentral describes it as "partial 16S ribosomal RNA". It matches the Rfam family "Bacterial small subunit ribosomal RNA", at positions 29 to 507 of the family's 1533-position model. The record is from RNAcentral.
AACGAACGCUGGCGGCAUGCCUAACACAUGCAAGUCGAACGAGACCUUCGGGUCUAGUGGCGCACGGGUGCGUAACGCGUGGGAACCUGCCCUUAGGUUCGGAAUAACUCCCCGAAAGGGGUGCUGUUACCGGAUAAUGUCUUCGGACCAAAGAUUUAUCGCCUUUGGAAGGGCCCGCGUUGGAUUAGCUAGUUGGUAGGGUAAAAGCCUACCAAGGCGACGAUCCAUAGCUGGUCUGAGAGGAUGAUCAGCCACACUGGGACUGAGACACGGCCCAGACUCCUACGGGAGGCAGCAGUGGGGAAUAUUGGACAAUGGGCGAAAGCCUGAUCCAGCAAUGCCGCGUGAGUGAUGAAGGCCUUAGGGUUGUAAAGCUCUUUUACCCGGGAUGAUAAUGACAGUACCGGGAGAAUAAGCUCCGGCUAACUCCGUG